RNAcentral lists this ribosomal RNA (756 nucleotides) under Bacillus cereus. Its description in RNAcentral is "bacterial SSU rRNA". It matches the Rfam family "Bacterial small subunit ribosomal RNA", at positions 45 to 784 of the family's 1533-position model. The record is from RNAcentral. Lineage: Bacteria; Bacillati; Bacillota; Bacilli; Caryophanales; Bacillaceae.
UGCUAUAAUGCAAGUCGAGCGAAUGGAUUAAGAGCUUGCUCUUAUGAAGUUAGCGGCGGACGGGUGAGUAACACGUGGGUAACCUGCCCAUAAGACUGGGAUAACUCCGGGAAACCGGGGCUAAUACCGGAUAACAUUUUGAACCGCAUGGUUCGAAAUUGAAAGGCGGCUUCGGCUGUCACUUAUGGAUGGACCCGCGUCGCAUUAGCUAGUUGGUGAGGUAACGGCUCACCAAGGCAACGAUGCGUAGCCGACCUGAGAGGGUGAUCGGCCACACUGGGACUGAGACACGGCCCAGACUCCUACGGGAGGCAGCAGUAGGGAAUCUUCCGCAAUGGACGAAAGUCUGACGGAGCAACGCCGCGUGAGUGAUGAAGGCUUUCGGGUCGUAAAACUCUGUUGUUAGGGAAGAACAAGUGCUAGUUGAAUAAGCUGGCACCUUGACGGUACCUAACCAGAAAGCCACGGCUAACUACGUGCCAGCAGCCGCGGUAAUACGUAGGUGGCAAGCGUUAUCCGGAAUUAUUGGGCGUAAAGCGCGCGCAGGUGGUUUCUUAAGUCUGAUGUGAAAGCCCACGGCUCAACCGUGGAGGGUCAUUGGAAACUGGGAGACUUGAGUGCAGAAGAGGAAAGUGGAAUUCCAUGUGUAGCGGUGAAAUGCGUAGAGAUAUGGAGGAACACCAGUGGCGAAGGCGACUUUCUGGUCUGUAACUGACACUGAGGCGCGAAAGCGUGGGGAGCAAACAGGAUUAGAUA